GGGUUGUGAGGUUAAGCGACUAAGCGUACACGGUGGAUGCCCUGGCAGUCAGAGGCGAUGAAGGACGUGCUAAUCUGCGAUAAGCGUCGGUAAGGUGAUAUGAACCGUUAUAACCGGCGAUUUCCGAAUGGGGAAACCCAGUGUGAUUCGUCACACUAUCAUUAACUGAAUCCAUAGGUUAAUGAGGCGAACCGGGGGAACUGAAACAUCUAAGUACCCCGAGGAAAAGAAAUCAACCGAGAUUCCCCCAGUAGCGGCGAGCGA
This 264-nucleotide ribosomal RNA is filed under the name Escherichia coli. Its description in RNAcentral is "partial 23S ribosomal RNA". It matches the Rfam family "Bacterial large subunit ribosomal RNA", at positions 1 to 256 of the family's 2925-position model. Lineage: Bacteria; Pseudomonadati; Pseudomonadota; Gammaproteobacteria; Enterobacterales; Enterobacteriaceae. The record is from RNAcentral.